RNAcentral lists this ribosomal RNA (492 nucleotides) under uncultured bacterium. Its description in RNAcentral is "partial 16S ribosomal RNA". It matches the Rfam family "Bacterial small subunit ribosomal RNA", at positions 29 to 507 of the family's 1533-position model. The record is from RNAcentral.
AGUGAACGCUGGCGGUAGGCCUAACACAUGCAAGUCGAACGGCAGCACAGUAAGAGCUUGCUCUUACGGGUGGCGAGUGGCGGACGGGUGAGGAAUACAUCGGAAUCUACUUUUUCGUGGGGGAUAACGUAGGGAAACUUACGCUAAUACCGCAUACGACCUACGGGUGAAAGCAGGGGAUCUUCGGACCUUGCGCGAUUGAAUGAGCCGAUGUCGGAUUAGCUAGUUGGCGGGGUAAAGGCCCACCAAGGCGACGAUCCGUAGCUGGUCUGAGAGGAUGAUCAGCAACACUGGAACUGAGACACGGUCCAGACUCCUACGGGAGGCAGCAGUGGGGAAUAUUGGACAAUGGGCGCAAGCCUGAUCCAGCCAUACCGCGUGGGUGAAGAAGGCCUUCGGGUUGUAAAGCCCUUUUGUUGGGAAAGAAAAGCAGCAGGUUAAUACCCCGCUGUCCUGACGGUACCCAAAGAAUAAGCACCGGCUAACUUCGUG